Long non-coding RNA from Leptidea sinapis, 1844 nucleotides. RefSeq lists it as uncharacterized. NCBI's taxonomy places the organism in Eukaryota, Metazoa, Arthropoda, Insecta, Lepidoptera, Pieridae. The transcript has 6 exons. The record is from RefSeq and is a predicted model, not a curated record.
UUGAAUGGCAUAGUUAUACGCGUACACGGUAAAUUGUUUGUUUAAUUUGCGCAGUUUUGUCAAGAAUUAAAUUAUUGAAAUAAUGAGAUAAAUUGCUUACACUCUUGCAAUAUCGGAACUCCAAUGAAAUUUAAACCGAAGGGGCGUCCGAUUUUUGCCUGCAAAAAAUAUUAUCCGCAAUAUUUUAAAAAUGUGAAAAUAAUUGGCUGGUACAUCUACUACACAUUCUGAUAUACUAUGUACACAUAACACAAUAUAAAAUGUGUUCCAACAGAGUUUUGGAUAAUAUAGAAUGUUGUAUGGAAGAAUUGGCUGAUAAUUUUGAUGGCUUCAUCAAAACAUCUUUGUUUAUUAUUACUAUAAUCCUUGGUAUCAUAGUGGCCAGCAUCCUUUACCUGUUCAAAGAAAUAUCGACGCGUCCUUUGCCAGGGGCCAGUAAUGACGAAGGAAUACAUCGCUGUAAUGAAUCUUGUACCACCGGGUCCCAAAUACCAAUAUUGAGAACAAAUACAAGAACUUCGGUUUCAAACGAAAUCCUAGAAGGUCAACUUGAUCUCAAAUGUGAACAGCCAUUCAGGGUCCUACAAGAAGAUGGCGUUAAACCAAAGCAAUCAGUAAUUCUUACAAGAAAAUCUAGCACUGAACAUAGCUCUCAAGUAACCAAUCUAAAAAAGAAUGAUAACACUGAAAAAAGCCCACAACCUGAGCAGCUAAUUGAUAAGCAAGAUAAAUUAGUUUCAACGAGUGCUGUCAAACCAGCCCCAGAUUCGAGCUUUGAUGAAAGAAUGCUAAAAGAAAUUGGAUUCACUGGCUGUGCGAGGCCCUGCUGUAAAAAAAAUUUGAAAUCUAAAAUUUCAAAAAGUGGAAGCAAGAAAUCUCUAAGGCCUUCAGUGCCAAGUUUGCCAAUAAAUAAAGCGCCGCAACGUAAUGUCACUCCAGAAGACAUACCUACGAAAAUUGACAAAUUAAAAUCAUGUUGUUCUCUGUGCUGUGAUAAGGGAAAAUAAACUCUAGUCAUUAUUUGUUUAAAAUAUUGAUUAGAAAAGUAAAUUAUCAAUGAUUAUCGAUGUUAACUUUACACUUUCAAACUUAACAAUACAAUUAAUGAAAUGGAUCUAAGUUUUUAUUUGAAUAGAUUUUGUGGUACAGUCCUUAUUCCUUGGUGAUCUGAUUGGUGGGGUCUGGGGAAUGGAGGCUUCGUUCUCUCACCUCAUCAGAGGCCUCACUAGUGAUGUGCCGCUAUGUUGCGGCACAUCAGUAGUGCCCACUCCAAUGCCCGAUAAGAAAGGGGCGGAAAGGUGUCAAGAAUAUAAAAGAUAUAUAAAUACUGAAAUGCAUAAGCACCGUUUAUUUAUUUCAGUAUUUAUGACAAUAUAAAUCUCUUAUAUCUCCUGCCCGUGUAUGCAUGUCAGGUUAAGCAUAUUAUGCAAUGUAGUUAAAACUGAAUAGCUUUUGAUCCUAGAACCUCAACUAUUUUAAGCUUUUCUCAUCUAAACCUUUCGAAAGAUAUAUUAUGUACUUAUUGUAGUUGCUGAAAAAUAAAAUUAUUAACACCGUUUUUAUGCUUUUAAUAUAAUUGUAUCACAAAGCACAUAAAGACUGUUUUCCAAUUGCAGCACUAGAGCGCAUUAUGCGGCAUAAUGUUCAACGUUGAGUGUUCCAACUACAGCAACGCUUUGCACAAUCGAGCACUCUCAAAAGUACUGCUUUCGCGUGAUGCGUAGAACUCAGUGGCAGAAAAUUAACAUGUGUUUUUUUCUAUGAGUGGGCAUUGGUCCAAAUUUUAUUUACUAUCGGUAGUAAUAUUGUUUAUUGUUGAAAAAAUUUUGAAAGAUUUCGUUUUG